Molecule: long non-coding RNA, 2425 nt
Organism: Salvelinus fontinalis (brook trout)
Lineage: Eukaryota; Metazoa; Chordata; Actinopteri; Salmoniformes; Salmonidae
Exons: 2
Source: RefSeq, a predicted model, not a curated record
CCAGAUUUUCAGGUUAUUAAUUAUGAAAAAUAUUAAUAACAUUCCACCCAUGAGGCCACUAUUCAUUUGACUGCAGGAAAUGGCUACAGCAUUUGCAGACUGUCUGUCAGAUUCAGUCUUUAACGGUUAUCACGUUACACUGUGCGACGUUACCAAAUUAAAAUCUUGAUAUCAACCUGGCCAGAUUGUAUGAUUUGCUUCAGUUCUGUCGUCACAUUCUGCAAUUUGCCUGCAGCGGUGUAUUUGAUCUCAAUGCUUAUGCGUGAGUUCUGAAUAAAUUCAAGUAGGCAUCUUAGAAAUAGUUUUCAAAUACAAACGUUAUAUGUCCUAACAAUUAAUUUGAUUGGCGAUUUUGUGCUUUUAUCGAAAUCCCACCAGGUAGCCUAAUUUCAGAUGUGUCAUAUAAACAAGAUUAUUUACAGGGAAAUCAUUCUUCUUACACAGCACGUAGGCUAAACAUUUAAUUCAAACUACUAUAUUAAUCUGACUAUUCACAAUCAUUUUAUUGUUGUGUGUGUACUCAAUGGCGGCCGUCUUCUUAUUGGUCAGUCACUGGGAUCAGCUCAUAACACCAGCCACACUACGCGAUAGAGGACAAAAUAUGUGGACACCACUAGAACUUUGUCUGAGCCUACGAUUGAAUGUAGCGGUACUUAAUCGGCACUUAAUCGGCAGACCUAGACCCUGUCACACUGAACGAGCCAAGAUGUCCGACAAUCGUUUACUACCUAAGAAUUUGUCCACAACGUGGAAAUUUUGUCUGGGACGGCAAAGUCGUGGCAUAAAAUGGACGAAAUUGUACCGUCUGCAAAGGACGUACGAAACAUAACAUAUCAUACCAAGUGGAGUGUCCCAGAUAUACAUUUACUAUGUUACGUCUAGUCUGAGACCAGGCUGCUAGGGGAGGAAUGCUUGUUUCAAUAGAUAAUUGUUCAGCUGUCACAUUCACAUGCCUGCUGCAGCUAUUAGAAUGCAUAUGAUAAUCUGGACUCUUUGAUAUAUUGCACUAAUUAGGACAUACUAACCUUUGAAAUGGCAUGCAUCUCACACAUUGCCAUCUAACCUGCCUGGGAACUCUGUGGUGCUCCGGGGUGAAGUUUCUCCCAGGUGCAGAUCUAGGAUCAGCUUCCCCUCUCACAACCCUAAUUAGUAAGGAACAUGCAAAACUGACCCAAAAUCAGCAUCUAGGGGCAUCUUCACCGUACACCAGUUGGAGGUGGUGGGGGAGGGGGAUAUGUGGUGGUGGGGGGUAUUCUAUGGUGGUAUGCUAUUUUCCGGGUGUGUUUUGAUCAACCUUUGGUUAGAGCACUGUCUGCUUUAGGUUUCUUGAAACCUACUAAACCCUGAUGCAUGCUGAAAUAACAACCCUGACAAUGCUGAGUAGGCGAUGAAGAAAAGGAAUGACUCUACACCCACACCUUUCUAUUCUUGGUUUUGUGAAAAGUGAUCACUAAAGAAGAACCUUUGAAACCUCUGCUGAGAAGAGCGAUCUCUUCUGUUGAUUGUCCAGCAACUUUGCUGUUAAUAUGGAAAAUAUAUGUUGCUUUUUGUCCUCUCCCCUCUUCUUUUCUUCAUCCUUUUUUGAAGGAUGGGAAUUAAAGGCUAUUGCUCAACUCUGCCUGUGAAUAGCACGCUGCAUUACACCAAACACAAGUGCCUAUGUGAAUCUUUAGUCCCCGCCCACUUCGCUUUCUAUCUGCUGUCUUACUGGUGGCGUCUAUCCUUUGAUUAGAGCAGGAAUGAUUCAUUCUGGAUUCUGAGACUCUGAUAGUCACUAAGGAAUGUUUGAAGAUAAUACAUCAAUGCUUAUUAUAGAGUAUGACGUGUGGGGUUUGCAAAAACAGUUCCCGAAAAAAGUAAGGUUGGGAACCACUGGUUUAGAAGAAAUGGAUGACCAUUGCAAUACCAAUACAGUAAGGAAGUGUUUAAAUAGCUAUUAUGGGUGAAGGGAUAGGGAAGGGUUGUGUUGUUUUUCAUUGUUUUAAAAUGUGAAACUGUGAUUUAAAGCCAAGACAAGUGAUUUGCAUGCAAAGGCCCCCUCUACCCAAGUCUUGGUCUGUGUGGCCACUGUCCAUUGUGAGCCAGUCCCAGACACUGAGUAAUGUAACAAAUGCCAAUCAGUAACAUCCGAAUAGCCUAAUGAUGGCAUUCUGAAUGCUGAGGAAACCAUAUAUCUCACUCCUGUCCUGACUCUGACGAUCAUUGGGGCUUUUGUCACUUUAUAAGUAUGUAACCAAUGCACACUGACAAUGAAUGGGCUUCUUUUCAUAUGGGACUGGAGCUCGGUUGUUAGAAUGGCUAAAGUGGAAUAUGUGUAUGACAACCCGUAGUGAUUUUUGUAGAGAGAUUGAAAUGUUUUGUUUAAACAUGACGUUUUUGGGCUUUUAAACUCUUGACUAUUAAAAGCCAGUUUGUCUAAAACCAA